Triticum urartu is the source of this 135-nucleotide non-coding RNA. The record is from Rfam. NCBI's taxonomy places the organism in Eukaryota, Viridiplantae, Streptophyta, Magnoliopsida, Poales, Poaceae.
GAUAUACUCCCUCCAUUCCAAAUUAGUUGACUUGGAUUUAUUUAGAUACGGAUGUAUCUAAAACUAAAACAUGUCUAGAUAUAUCUGUAUCUAGACAAAUUUGAGUCAACUAAUUUGGAAUGGAGGAAAUAGUAG